AUGCAAGUCGAACGAGAAGACAUGAGAAGCUUGCUUCUUAUCGAUUCUAGUGGCAAACGGGUGAGUAACGCGUAAGCAACCUGCCCUUCAGAUGGGGACAACAGCUGGAAACGGCUGCUAAUACCGAAUACGUUCUUUCCGCCGCAUGACGGGAAGAAGAAAGGGAGGCCUUCGGGCUUUCGCUGGAGGAGGGGCUUGCGUCUGAUUAGCUAGGUUGGAGGGGUAACGGCCCACCAAGGCGACGAUCAGUAGCCGGUCUGAGAGGAUGAACGGCCACAUUGGGACUGAGACACGGCCCAGACUCCUACGGGAGGCAGCAGUGGGGAAUCUUCCGCAAUGGACGAAAGUCUGACGGAGCAACGCCGCGUGAACGAUGACGGCCUUCGGGUUGUAAAGUUCUGUUAUAUGGGACGAACAGGGCAUCGGUUAAUACCCGGUGUCUUUGACGGUACCGUAAGAGAAAGCCAC
Molecule: ribosomal RNA, 468 nt
Filed under: Firmicutes bacterium HF4
Lineage: Bacteria; Bacillati; Bacillota
Description: bacterial SSU rRNA
Rfam family: Bacterial small subunit ribosomal RNA
Source: RNAcentral